UACAGAGGGUGCGAGCGUUAAUCGGAAUUACUGGGCGUAAAGCGCGCGUAGGCGGCUUUUCAAGUCGAUUGUGAAAUCCCCGGGCUUAACCUGGGAACUGCAGUCGAGACUGUCUAGCUAGAGUAUGGGAGAGGGAAGUGGAAUUUCAGGUGUAGCGGUGAAAUGCGUAGAGAUGUGGAGGAAUACCGAUGGCGAAGGCAGCCCCCUGGGCCAAUACUGACGCUCAUGCACGAAAGCGUGGGGAGCAAACAGG
This 253-nucleotide ribosomal RNA is filed under the name uncultured bacterium. RNAcentral describes it as "partial 16S ribosomal RNA". It matches the Rfam family "Bacterial small subunit ribosomal RNA", at positions 524 to 776 of the family's 1533-position model. The record is from RNAcentral.